GGAGAGGUGGCUCAGUGGUUAAGAGCACUGGCUGCUUUUCUAGGAGACCUGGGUUCAAGCCCCAGCACCUACA
Non-coding RNA from Cricetulus griseus (Chinese hamster), 73 nucleotides. NCBI's taxonomy places the organism in Eukaryota, Metazoa, Chordata, Mammalia, Rodentia, Cricetidae. The record is from Rfam.